UAGAGUUUGAUCUUGGUUCAGAUUGAACGCUGGCGGCAGGCCUAACACAUGCAAGUCGAACGGUAACAGGAAACAGCUUGCUGUUUCGCUGACGAGUGGCGGACGGGUGAGUAAUGUCUGGGAAACUGCCUGAUGGAGGGGGAUAACUACUGGAAACGGUAGCUAAUACCGCAUAACGUCGCAAGACCAAAGAGGGGGACCUUCGGGCCUCUUGCCAUCGGAUGUGCCCAGAUGGGAUUAGCUAGUAGGUGGGGUAACGGCUCACCUAGGCGACGAUCCCUAGCUGGUCUGAGAGGAUGACCAGCCACACUGGAACUGAGACACGGUCCAGACUCCUACGGGAGGCAGCAGUGGGGAAUAUUGCACAAUGGGCGCAAGCCUGAUGCAGCCAUGCCGCGUGUAUGAAGAAGGCCUUCGGGUUGUAAAGUACUUUCAGCGGGGAGGAAGGGAGUAAAGUUAAUACCUUUGCUCAUUG
This 475-nucleotide ribosomal RNA is filed under the name Shigella sonnei. RNAcentral's name for it is "bacterial SSU rRNA". It matches the Rfam family "Bacterial small subunit ribosomal RNA", at positions 1 to 477 of the family's 1533-position model. The record is from RNAcentral. Lineage: Bacteria; Pseudomonadati; Pseudomonadota; Gammaproteobacteria; Enterobacterales; Enterobacteriaceae.